Triticum aestivum (bread wheat) is the source of this 244-nucleotide long non-coding RNA. RefSeq lists it as uncharacterized. The record is from RefSeq and is a predicted model, not a curated record. The transcript has 3 exons. NCBI's taxonomy places the organism in Eukaryota, Viridiplantae, Streptophyta, Magnoliopsida, Poales, Poaceae.
GAGGAGAGGCAGGAAGCGCUGCGGGUGAAGCAGCAAGUGCUCUUUAUUCGUCUAGCAUCUCGCUAGAAUAGAAGAGUCCGUAGACUCUUUUUAGUUUUCUAAGGUUGGUUUAAAUUCAAUAAGUGUCUGGAGACAUUUGUUUUCAUGUCAGGUGUUCUUUGUCUUAGUUUGAUUCCGAUCUACUCCUAUGCAAAGUGUCUUUGUUUGGUUUGAUUUCUUGUGUUUGCAUAUCGGAAGAGCACAC